GAGUUUGAUUAUGGCUCAGAUUGAACGCUGGCGGCAUGCUUUACACAUGCAAGUCGAACGGCAGCACGAGUGCUUGCACUUGGUGGCGAGUGGCGAACGGGUGAGUAAUGCAUUGGAACGUGCCUUGUAUUGGGGGAUAACUGAGCGAAAGCUUAGCUAAUACCGCAUACGCCCUGAGGGGGAAAGCUGGGGAUCGUUUGACCUGGCGAUAUAAGAGCGGCCAAUGUCUGAUUAGCUAGUUGGUGAGGUAAAGGCUUACCAAGGCGACGAUCAGUAGCGGGUCUGAGAGGAUGAUCCGCCACACUGGGACUGAGAGACGGCCCAGACUCCUACGGGAGGCAGCAGUGGGGAAUUUUGGACAAUGGGGGGAACCCUGAUCCAGCCAUGCCGCGUGUCUGAAGAAGGCCUUCGGGUUGUAAAGGACUUUUGUUGGGGAGCAAAGGUAUCUGGUUAAGAUGCUGGAGAUU
RNAcentral lists this ribosomal RNA (467 nucleotides) under Aquaspirillum sp. canine oral taxon 091. RNAcentral's name for it is "bacterial SSU rRNA". It matches the Rfam family "Bacterial small subunit ribosomal RNA", at positions 9 to 476 of the family's 1533-position model. Lineage: Bacteria; Pseudomonadati; Pseudomonadota; Betaproteobacteria; Neisseriales; Aquaspirillaceae. The record is from RNAcentral.